Molecule: ribosomal RNA, 775 nt
Filed under: uncultured Neocallimastigales
Lineage: Eukaryota; Fungi; Neocallimastigomycota; Neocallimastigomycetes; Neocallimastigales
Description: partial large subunit ribosomal RNA
Rfam family: Eukaryotic large subunit ribosomal RNA
Source: RNAcentral
GUACACGCUGUGACUAGCAUAUCAAUAAGCGGAGGAAAAGAAACUAACAAGGAUUCCCCUAGUAACGGCGAGUGAAGCGGGAAGAGCUCAAAUUUGAAAUCUUAAAGGGUUUCCCUUUACGAAUUGUAGUUUAAAGAAGUGUUUUCUGUUGAGGUUUUGGUAAAAGUUCUUUGGAAUAGGACAUCAUAGAGGGUGAGAAUCCCGUAUUUGACCUUUACUUUCAACUUUGUGAUACACUUUCAAAGAGUCGGAUUGUUUGGGAAUGCAGUCCAAAAUGGGUGGUAAAUUUCAUCUAAAGCUAAAUAUUGGCGAUGAGACCGAUAGCGAACAAGUACCGUGAGGGAUAGAUGAAAAGAACUUUGAAAAGAGAGUUAAACAGUACGUGAAAUUGUCAAAAGGGAAGCGUUUGACACCAGUGUUGUUUUUCUGAAAAUCAAUUAAAGAACUGUUUAUGCUAAGUUGUUUGGACUUUAUCAGCUAACUGUUUAGUUUUGAGCUUUUCUUUAAUGCACUUUUCAGUUAACAAGUCAACAUCAAUUUCUUUUGCUGUAAAAAAGCUUGAGGAAGGUGGCUUGAGAUUCGUCUUAAGUGUUUAUAGCCUCUUGCCUAUGCAGUCGGAGAGAUUGAGGUCUGCAGCGUAGAUCCUUCGGGGCUAAAUGCAUUUGUGCUAAGUUAUAGCAUUUUAUAGACAACUUGUUGACUAUGAUUUGUCUUGUAGCUUACUCGCAUAUGUUAUUUUACCUACGCUUAGGAUGUUGACGCGCGUGUGUGCGUG